Molecule: ribosomal RNA, 339 nt
Filed under: Triticum aestivum (bread wheat)
Lineage: Eukaryota; Viridiplantae; Streptophyta; Magnoliopsida; Poales; Poaceae
Description: partial small subunit ribosomal RNA
Source: RNAcentral
AUGGAAGCAGAACUCACAGCACUAGAUACAGCUACGGUCAAAGCAGAUUGGCUUCGCCGACUCUUGAAUGACUUGCCGGUUGUUGAGAAACCUGUACCGGGUAUCCUUAUGAACUGUGACAAUCAAACUGUGAUCACGAAAGUGAACAGCUCAAAGGAUAACAUGAAGUCAUCAAGACACGUUCAGAGAAGGUUAAAGUCUGUCAGGAAAAUGAGAAACUCCGGAGUUAUUGCAUUGGAUUAUAUCCAAACGUCUAAAAAUCUGGCAGAUCCUUUCACUAAGGGUCUAUCACGUAAUGUGAUAGAUAAUGCAUCGAGGGAGAUGGGUAUGAGACCCACA